AUUCCAGUGCUUCACCACCCUCCUAGUGAAAUCAUGUUUCCAAAUAUCCAACUUAGAACUCCCCCACUGCAACUCGAGACUAUUGCUCCUUGUGCUCCUUGACUACUGCAGGAAGUCUGGGAAACAAGCAGGGAGAACUGGAAGUCCUGGCACAGUCAAGGAACUAUGAUGUGAUUGGAAUAACAGAGACUUGGUGGGAUAACUCACAUGACUGGAGCACUGUCAUGGAUGGAUAUAAACUGUUCAGGAAGGACAGGCAGGGCAGAAAAGGUGGAGGAGUUGCAUUGUAUGUAAGAGAGCAGUAUGACUGCUCAGAGCUCUGGAAUGAAACUGCAGAAAAACCUGAGAGUCUCUGGAUUAAGUUUAGAAGUAUGAGCAACAAGGGUGAUGUCAUCAUGAGAGUCUGCUAUAGACCACCAGACCAGGGGGAUGAGGUGGAUGAGGCUUUCUUCUGGCAACUAACAGAAGUUACUAGAUCGCAGGCCCUGGUUCUCAUGGGAGACUGCAAUCACCCUGAUAUCUGCUGGGAGAGUAAUACAGCGGUGCACAGACAAUCCAGGAAGUAUUUGGAAAGUGUAGGGGACAAUUUCCUGGUGCAAGUGCUGGAGGAGGCAACUAGGGGCAGAACACAUCUUGACCAGCUGCUCACAAACCAGGAAGAAUUAGUAGGGGAAGCAAAAGUGGAUGAGAACCUGGGAGGCAGUGACCAUGAGAUGGUAGAAUUCAGGAUCCUGACACAAGAAAGAAAGGAGAGCAGCAGAAUACGGACCCUGGACUUUAGAAAAGCAGACUUUGACUCCCUCAGGGAACUGAUGGGCAGGAUCCCCUGGGAGAAUAACGUGAGGGGGAAAGGAGUCCAGGACAGCUGGCUGUAUUUUAAAGAAUCCUUAUUGAGGUGGCAGGAACAAACCAUCCCAAUGUGUAGAAAUAGUAAAUAUGGCAGGCGACUGGCUUGGCUAAACAGUGAAAUCCUUGCUGAUCUUAAACACACAAAAGAAGCUUACAAGAAGUGGAAGAUUGGACAAAUGACCAGGGAGGAGUAUAAAAAUAUUGCUCAGGCAUGCAGGAGUGAAAUCAGGAAGGCCAAAUCACACUUGGAGUUGCAGCUAGCAAGAGAUGUUAAGAGUAACAAAAAGGGUUUCUUCGGGUAUGUUAGCAACAAGAAGAAAGUCAAGGAAAGUGUGGGCCCCUUACUGAAUGAGGGAGGCAACCUAGUGACAGAGGAUGUGGAAAAAGCUAAUGUACUCAAUGAGUUUUUUGCCUCUGUCUUCACAAACAAGGUCAGCUCCCAGACUACUGCACUGGGCAGCACAGUAUGGGGAGGAGGUGACCAGUCCUCUGUGGAGAAAGAAGUGGUUCAGGGCUAUUUAGAAAAGCUGGAUGAGCACAAGUCCAUGGGGCCAGAUGCGCUGCAUCCGAGGGUGCUACAGGCUGGGGACCGACUGGCUAAGCAGCAGUUCUGCAGAAAAGGACCUGGGGAUUACAGUGGAUGAGAAGCUGGACAUGAAUCAACAGUGUGCCCGUGUUGCCAAGAAGGCUAACCGCAUUUUGGGCUGUAUAAGUAGGGCCAUUGCCAGUAGAUCAAGGGACGUGAUCGUUCCCCUCGAUUCGACAUUGGUGAGGCCUCAUCUGUAGUACUGUGCCCAGUUUUGGGCCCCACACUACAAGAAGGAUGUGGAAAAAUUGGAGAGAGUCCAGCGGAGGGCAACAAAAAUUAUUAGCGGGCUGGCGCACAUGACUUAUGAGGAGAGGCUGAGGGAACAGGGAUUGUUUAGUCUGCAGAA
This is a long non-coding RNA of Chrysemys picta bellii (western painted turtle), 1784 nucleotides long. The record is from Ensembl. NCBI's taxonomy places the organism in Eukaryota, Metazoa, Chordata, Testudines, Emydidae.